GGAGGACUGAGAACAUGGCUCGUAAAGCUGCAGGAGAAGAGCUACUGCCAGAAGAGGAUCCCUCUAAUCCUGUCUUUAAGCCACUCCCAGAGCCCUCACGGUUGGAUAGCUUUCUCAUAACUAAUCAAAUUUCAAAUUACUGCAACCAGAUUAAUGGAGUUGCGGGACAAAGCCUCAGUAGACUACAUCUGAUGAAGGCUUUGCACGAGAACUGAGCAAGUUUUGCGUUGGCAAUUUGUACCUUAGAUUUUUGUGCCUUUUUUUUCAACUUUACUGAUGUGAGAGGGAAAGAGAAUGACCUUUAUCUCUGUUAGGUGUCUUUAGUUUUUGCUUUUACAUUCUUCUAUGAUUGGCAAUCAAGUGUAGCCUACCUUGAAUCAUAUAUGUGAAGAUUUACAUCUAGUCCACAGAGAAGGAAUAGGGAUCUAUGUAUCGAUGACCUUAUUGUUUUUUGAUCGAUUGUGUGGA
RNAcentral lists this unclassified non-coding RNA (468 nucleotides) under Hevea brasiliensis (rubber tree). Lineage: Eukaryota; Viridiplantae; Streptophyta; Magnoliopsida; Malpighiales; Euphorbiaceae. The record is from RNAcentral.